ACCUGGGUCGACACUGACGCUCAUGUACGAAAGCGUGGGUAGCAAACAGGAUUAGAUACCCUGGUAGUCCACGCCGUAAACGAUGUCUACUAGCAGUUUGGAGCUUAAGCUCUGUCUUGCGCAGCUAACGCAUUAAGUAGACCGCCUGGGGAGUACGGCCGCAAGGUUAAAACUCAAAUGAAUUGACGGGGGCCCGCACAAGCGGUGGAGCAUGUGGUUUAAUUCGAUGCAACGCGAAGAACCUUACCAUCUCUUGACAUCCAGAGAAUUUAGCAGAGACGCUUUAGUGCCUUCGGGAACUCUGAGACAGGUGCUGCAUGGCUGUCGUCAGCUCGUGUUGUGAAAUGUUGGGUUAAGUCCCGCAACGAGCGCAACCCUUAUCCUUAGUUGCCAGCACGUAAUGGUGGGAACUCUAAGGAGACUGCCGGUGACAAACCGGAGGAAGGUGGGGACGACGUCAAGUCAUCAUGGCCCUUACGAGAUGGGCUACACACGUGCUACAAUGGCAAGUACAAAGGGUUGCAAACUCGCGAGAGUAAGCGGAUCCCAUAAAGCUUGUCGUAGUCCGGAUUGGAGUCUGCAACUCGACUCCAUGAAGUCGGAAUCGCUAGUAAUCGUGGAUCAGAAUGCCACGGUGAAUACGUUCCCGGGCCUUGUACACACCGCCCGUCACACCAUGGGAGUGGGCUGCAAAAGAAGUGGAUAGCUUAACCUUCGGGAGGGCGUUCACCACUUUGUGGUUCAUGACUGGGGGAAGUCGUAACAAGGUAGCCGUAGGGGAACCUGCGGCUGGAUCACCUCCUUAUAUACGAAGUUAC
Molecule: ribosomal RNA, 818 nt
Filed under: Psychrosphaera haliotis
Lineage: Bacteria; Pseudomonadati; Pseudomonadota; Gammaproteobacteria; Alteromonadales; Pseudoalteromonadaceae
Description: bacterial SSU rRNA
Rfam family: Bacterial small subunit ribosomal RNA
Source: RNAcentral